RNAcentral lists this non-coding RNA (148 nucleotides) under Homo sapiens (human). The record is from Rfam by way of RNAcentral. Lineage: Eukaryota; Metazoa; Chordata; Mammalia; Primates; Hominidae.
GCCAGGCGUGGUGGUGCGUGCCUGUAAUCCCAGCUACUCAGGAGGCUGAGGCAGGAGAAUCGUUUGAACCUGGGAGGUGGAGGUUGCAGUGAGCUGAGAUCGCGCCACUGCACUCCAGCCUGGGUGACAGAGUGAGACUCUGUCUCAA